This 253-nucleotide ribosomal RNA is filed under the name uncultured bacterium. RNAcentral's name for it is "partial 16S ribosomal RNA". It matches the Rfam family "Bacterial small subunit ribosomal RNA", at positions 524 to 776 of the family's 1533-position model. The record is from RNAcentral.
UACGAAGGUGACUAGCGUUGUUCGGAAUCAUUGGGCGUAAAGCGCACGUAGGCGGGUUUGUAAGUCAAUUGUGAAAACCCUGGGCUCAACCCGGGACCUGCAGUCGAAACUACAAGUCUUGAAUGCUCGAGAGGAUGGUGGAAUUCCAGGAGUAGAAGUGAAAUUCGUAGAUAUCUGGAGGAACACCGGAGGCGAAAGCGGCCAUCUGGCGAGACAUUGACGCUAAGGUGCGAAAGCGUGGGGAUCAAACAGG